This 275-nucleotide ribosomal RNA is filed under the name uncultured prokaryote. RNAcentral describes it as "partial 16S ribosomal RNA". It matches the Rfam family "Bacterial small subunit ribosomal RNA", at positions 524 to 800 of the family's 1533-position model. The record is from RNAcentral.
UACGUAGGGGCUAGCGUUAUCCGGAUUUACUGGGCGUAAAGGGUGCGUAGGUGGUUUCUUAAGUCAGAGGUGAAAGGCUACGGCUCAACCGUAGUAAGCCUUUGAAACUGAGAAACUUGAGUGCAGGAGAGGAGAGUGGAAUUCCUAGUGUAGCGGUGAAAUGCGUAGAUAUUAGGAGGAACACCAGUUGCGAAGGCGGCUCUCUGGACUGUAACUGACACUGAGGCACGAAAGCGUGGGGAGCAAACAGGAUUAGAUACCCUGGUAGUCCCUGA